AGACCCGAAACCCGGUGAUCUAGCCAUGGGCAGGUUGAAGGUUGGGUAACACUAACUGGAGGACCGAACCGACUAAUGUUGAAAAAUUAGCGGAUGACCUGUGGCUGGGGGUGAAAGGCCAAUCAAACCGGGAGAUAGCUGGUUCUCCCCGAAAGCUAUUUAGGUAGCGCCUCGUGAAUUCAUCUCCGGGGGUAGAGCACUGUUUCGGCUAGGGGGCCAUCCCGGCUUACCAACCCGAUGCAAACUGCGAAUACCGGAGAAUGUUAUCACGGGAGACACACGGCGGGUGCUAACGUCCGUCGUGAAGAGGGAAACAACCCAGACCGCCAGCUAAGGUCCCAAAGUCAUGGUUAAGUGGGAAACGAUGUGGGAAGGCCCAGACAGCCAGGAUGUUGGCUUAGAAGCAGCCAUCAUUUAAAGAAAGCGUAAUAGCUCACUGGUCGAGUCGGCCUGCGCGGAAGAUGUAACGGGGCUAAACCAUGCACCGAAGCUGCGGCAGCGACACUCAGGUGUUGUUGGGUAGGGGAGCGUUCUGUAAGCCUGCGAAGGUGGCCUGUGAGGGUUGCUGGAGGUAUCAGAAGUGCGAAUGCUGACAUAAGUAACGAUAAAGCGGGUGAAAAGCCCGCUCGCCGGAAGACCAAGGGUUCCUGUCCAACGUUAAUCGGGGCAGGGUGAGUCGACCCCUAAGGCGAGGCCGAAAGGCGUAGUCGAUGGGAAACGGGUUAAUAUUCCCGUACUUGGUGUUACUGCGAA
RNAcentral lists this ribosomal RNA (753 nucleotides) under Salmonella enterica subsp. enterica serovar Infantis. RNAcentral's name for it is "partial 23S ribosomal RNA". It matches the Rfam family "Bacterial large subunit ribosomal RNA", at positions 711 to 1460 of the family's 2925-position model. The record is from RNAcentral. Lineage: Bacteria; Pseudomonadati; Pseudomonadota; Gammaproteobacteria; Enterobacterales; Enterobacteriaceae.